AAGAGCUUGCUCUUUCCGGAAUUGAGUGGCAAACGGGUGAGUAACACGUAAACAACCUGCCUUCAGGAUGGGGACAACAGACGGAAACGACUGCUAAUACCGAAUAAGUUCCAAGAGCCGCAUGGCCCAUGGAAGAAAAGGUGGCCUCUACCUGUAAGCUAUCGCCUGAAGAGGGGUUUGCGUCUGAUUAGCUGGUUGGAGGGGUAACGGCCCACCAAGGCGACGAUCAGUAGCCGGUCUGAGAGGAUGAACGGCCACACUGGAACUGAGACACGGUCCAGACUCCUACGGGAGGCAGCAGUGGGGAAUCUUCCGCAAUGGGCGAAAGCCUGACGGAGCAACGCCGCGUGAGUGAUGACGGCCUUCGGGUUGUAAAACUCUGUGAUCCGGGACGAAAAGGCAGAGUGCGAAGAACAAACUGCAUUGACGGUACCGGAAAAGCAAGCCACGGCUAACUACGUGCCAGCAGCCGCGGUAAUACGUAGGUGGCAAGCGUUGUCCGGAAUUAUUAGGCGUAAAGCGCGCGCAGGCGGCUUCCCAAGUCCCUCUUAAGAGUGCGGGGCUUAACCCCGUGAUGG
Molecule: ribosomal RNA, 578 nt
Filed under: uncultured bacterium
Lineage: Bacteria
Description: bacterial SSU rRNA
Rfam family: Bacterial small subunit ribosomal RNA
Source: RNAcentral